This is a long non-coding RNA of Neofelis nebulosa (Clouded leopard), 1701 nucleotides long. RefSeq lists it as uncharacterized. NCBI's taxonomy places the organism in Eukaryota, Metazoa, Chordata, Mammalia, Carnivora, Felidae. The transcript has 5 exons. The record is from RefSeq and is a predicted model, not a curated record.
GGUGUGCUACUGCCAUCUAGCAUGUAGGGUCCAGGGAUGCGGCUAAGCAUUCUAUGAUGACUCUUGCAGCGACAGUCUCCCACAGCCAAAUGUCAGCAUUGCCAAGGCAGGAAAACCUGGGGAGAUGUUUAGAACCGUGUAGAAGUUGACUGCUAAAGCAGGGCAAAUGUCAGGGGUCAAAAGCCAGAAGCCAAGGAAGUCAAAUGUCAGAGGCGUAGGAGAGUGGUAAACACCAGGUCAUUGGAUAAGCAAAGAAACAACGUCAAGAGUGCUGAGGUUGAGGAACUUGCUCUGGACAAUGAGCAACGUAAUCACACCACAAUGCCAGAAGAGAAUAAAAUGUCGUCCAAAUACAAGGUGCAGCAUCUAAUCUAGAAUCAGGGGUGCAAAGGUGCCCUCGGAAGUGACAUCUAAUUAAAAACCUGAAAACCAGAUGAGUUCGAAAGGGAUGUGAAGACGAAGGCAGGGUAAAGGGGCCAUUCCAGACAGAAGGCACAGCCGGCGGGCAAGCGGGACUACGGAACGGAGGAACACAUCUGUACGGCGGAAAGUGGGAGGGGCUCCGGGGCUGGAGAGGCGGCCGGCCCGAUCAUAACGGGCUUGUGUGAUGGCUUAAGAAACACAGACGUUAUCUUUAAGGCAGUAAGAAGCCACCGAAAGAAUUUACACAGAGGAGUGACACGAACAAGCUUGUUUUAGGACAAACGACUGCUAAGAAACUGAGUAGGAGGGAGCUCCUGACAUCCAGACGACAGUCAUGGCCUAACGCUGCCCCUUGGAACGGAGGGGAGGCAUUCAAGAGACACUCAGGGAACAGCUGAUGGCAUGGAAGGAAGUCCAAAGACGUCAAGAGCAGAGGACAGCUCUUGAGUAGAUCCCUAAGGCCAAGCACUGCUGGACACAGUCCGAAAACAGAGAGGAUUCUGUCCCCGACGCCCGCAGGUUAUGAAGAGAAAAAGGUAUUCCAGAUAAAAGAACCAAAAUCAACAAAUGACACGAGCGGACGGAAUAUGGAAGAUGCGCGAAAACAGCUAUAAACUGGUCUCACUACACAGCAGGGUGUGCUGGAGAGUGACAGAAAACAAAGCAUCCAGCAGCCGACCUAGCAGCUGGUUCACAAAUCCACGGCCCCGCAGAAGCAUACGGCCCCUGUCUAGGAGACCAAAGCCAGGCGGACAGCAGCCCGACUCACAGUAAGCUCCAACACGGCCAGCGCCACAGUCCACUGCUACGGCCCAAACUCCGCCAAGGAGAGGGGUGCCUGGAGGAGAAGCUGUGGUAGCCAAUGUCUGGAACGAGCGCUCAGGGUUCCCUGUCCCUACCUGGCAUCAGACACCUGGAAAAGACGACGAAGGAAGGUGCGCCUUCACAGUUCCCAAUAACCCUUACCGCGUCCUCUCCCUGGAGCACCCUGUGCCAUACUGCCCCUGACCCUUCUGCACCCUCCUGGCCGGUGACCGCCACCCCACAUGCACCUUAUUCACUGGUUCACUCUAUCUUUUCAUGUGCCCAUGAGGGUCUCAGGUCAGCGGGGUGAGGAAGGUCAUCUGCUCGUCUCUGUGUUUAUCCCUGGUUUCCAGCACAGUAAUUGGCACGGGGCAGUCCUUCAGUAUUUGUUACUGAACUUUUUGUUGGCGAGUUGUCAGAGACCGAAAUGAAGUCUAUUUUCUAGUACGUUCACCUCCAAGCCCCGCCCCCAAC